AACGAACGCUGGCGGCAUGCCUAACACAUGCAAGUCGAACGAGACCUUCGGGUCUAGUGGCGCACGGUUGCGUAACGCGUGGGAACCUGCCCUUAGGUUCGGAAUAACUCCCCGAAAGGGGUGCUAAUACCGGAUAAUGUCUUCGGACCAAAGAUUUAUCGCCUUUGGAUGGGCCCGCGUUGGAUUAGCUAGUUGGUAGGGUAAAAGCCUACCAAGGCGACGAUCCAUAGCUGGUCUGAGAGGAUGAUCAGCCACACUGGGACUGAGACACGGCCCAGACUCCUACGGGAGGCAGCAGUGGGGAAUAUUGGAGAAUGGGCGAAAGCCUGAACCAGCAAUGCCGCGUGGGUGAUGAAGGCCUUAGGGUUGUAAAGCUCUUUUACCCGGGAUGAUAAUGACAGUACCGGGAGAAUAAGCACCGGCUAACUCCGUG
Molecule: ribosomal RNA, 433 nt
Filed under: uncultured bacterium
Lineage: Bacteria
Description: partial 16S ribosomal RNA
Rfam family: Bacterial small subunit ribosomal RNA
Source: RNAcentral